Molecule: ribosomal RNA, 228 nt
Filed under: uncultured bacterium
Lineage: Bacteria
Description: partial 16S ribosomal RNA
Rfam family: Bacterial small subunit ribosomal RNA
Source: RNAcentral
GCGUAGGCGGAAUAUUAAGUCAGGGGUGAAAGUUUGUGGCUCAACCAUAAAAUUGCCUUUGAUACUGGUAUUCUUGAGUACAUUUGAGGUAGGCGGAAUGUGUUGUGUAGCGGUGAAAUGCUUAGAUAUAAACACAGAACACCGAUUGCGAAGGCAGCUUACUAAACUAGUCACUGACGCUGAUGCACGAAAGCGUGGGGAUCGAACAGGAUUAGAUACCCCUGGUAG